AUCAAACAAGGGAAAUUUAGGGACAGCGGGUUUAUUCCAAUGAACAAACCAGAGCAAGAAGCACAGUCGGAAUGCACAGCAAUGUGUCAUCCGCAGGGUCUGAGGACAUUAGGGUUCCCCAGCUCCAUGCCUUGGUUUCACCGUUGUAAAAGGGCAGUGCAGCUUUGUAUCUCGGCCUUCCUGGGCCGUUCUGUGCUCGGUGCCCGUGUGGAGCCCCGCAGGCCCGCACCAUUUCUAUGCACAGUGAGGGCAGCAGGAAGGCAGCUCCACUCCUUUAACGGGAGUAGGGAGAAGGGAGGGGGGCUGGGAGCGCCGGGGCCGUGCGGCACCGCCUCCUCCUCCUCCUCCUUCCCCGCCCGCUCCCUUCCUGCCAGCCAGCGCCGCGCAGCCACCAGCCCGGCUUCUCCACUCCGGCCCCGCAGCGCGCUUGGAAUUUGAGCCUUCUUUGUGACCAGAGUGAGCAGCAUCACGGCUCCAAGUGCUGCAGAGCCUGUUUGAUCCAAGCAGAGCUCCCAGAGCCCAGCCAGGUAGGUGUGGGUGGCUCAGAAGAAGAAAUACACUCUUGCCAGUACAGUUUAGUGCUGUGUCAGAAGAGGAUUAAAGUGCAUGGGUGUUAGAUUGCCUGAUAGCCUCCCAGCUGAGAGCUGCAUGGUUUUGGCAGAAGCGAGCUGGGCACGAUGAUGUUUGCAUUGUGUCAGCAGAUGGAGGAGGGGAUGAGGAGGGUGCAAUGAGAGCACAGCCGGGUACCAACCUGCAGCUGCAGGGCUGUGAGCAGCAGGGCUGAGUGAGACGAUGGGUGUUUAUACAACAGACUGGGCAGAUGUCAGAAGGCCUUUGUUGAGGUGCAUAGUAGCUUAAAAUUUGUCUAAAUGGCUUUUGUGUGUAGUAAACCUGAGCUGUUCUGGACUGUUGCAUCAGCUUGGCUUGUACAAACCUCUGUUAACUUCUCCAACAGCUGAUGAAAAUAGCAGAACAGACAGGGCCUGCCUCUUCCCAUCCAGGUGCAGGGCACACAGCUUUCAGGUGCUGACCUAAGGUGCCUUAAAUCUGUGCCUGGUUCAUCUUGCUAGAGACCUUACGAUGCUCAGGAGCUGCUCUUCAGGCUGAUAAAGUAAACUUGGCUUUGGCCAUUAAUCUGGUAGCUCUGUCUCUUAUUUUUAGUAGGUAAUCCUACUCUGAUAUGGCUGAGAAAGAGAAGGUAAUAUGGCAUGAGAGAGAAUGUAAACCCAGGUUUGUGUUGCUUGUAGAGCCAAAGCUAAGGCUUAACUCGAGGUUGGGUUUAUUGUGCUAAAACAGGCUGCCCAGAAAGCUGUUGGUGCCUAUCUCUGGAAGUGCCCAAGACUGGAAGACAGCAAGUGAGAGAUACAGCUGGGGAUAUUUUGACUCCUUGGAGCUUCUGUGGUAGUGACCUUGGCUGUAUUGCUGCCCAGCUUGGGAUGCCAGCAGAGCCUCAAACUGACAUUAAUGUUGUAUGUUAGGAGAUGGAAUUUCAAGGGAAGGCAUGCAGCCUGGUGGGGCUGAGAAUGUGUUCUCCCCAUCCUGGUGCCACCCCUACCAUUAUCCCAAAUAACAUCCCUUUGUGAAAGUUGCAAGAAAACCUUUCUUUCUUAUGAUUUUUCAGCCCUGAGUGAUAACGCUGUACUAGAAGGCUUCACCAGAGGGGUCUAGGUGGGUCUGGGGAUGCUGGGACAGGAGGAUUGCUAUCUCUGUGUCGAUGUGAGGUUGCUCUCUCUGCUUUAGCUGAAGUUAGUUCCAAGCUUGGGAUGUAUCUCAUCAGCUGCAGGGCUGCUGCAGCAUUUUUUUCCCCCAAGGUGUUGAUUUUAAAGCUAUAUUUAAAAAGGGUGGGAAGCAAAUAAAAAGGCUUCAGUUGAAGCAAAAUGACUCUUUUCUGGAAUUUAAUAAAUGGCGUGUUUCUGUUAACUAACAUCAAGCAGCUGAGAGCAGGCAGAGCCCAACAGAUGGUACAAACAGCGGCACGUUUGGAAUGGAAAAUAUUUACCUAGAGGGUAUUUGAAUCGCUGAGAUCGUGCUCUGCAAAUGGCUUAAUUGUAUCAGUGUAAUCAAGCGAAGAAGGGAAAGAUUUAUUGACAAGUCUUCUGCCUCUCGCUGUUAACAGUUGGGAGGGGGUUUUGAGCACUGUUGAGCUGCACUUGAAUAGAUCUCCUUUCCAGGUAGGAGUUACUUUAAUACUCGAAUGGCUCGGUGUGUAAAUACUGGUGGCUAAAGCUUUCCUCUGGCUGUAGGAGUCAAGCUGUCAGGGCUGUAAUUUAAAUGAAACCCUCCGAAUUUGCACGGCUGUUUGUUGUGCUUUGCACCAGCUCUGGGUUUUGAGAGGACUUCUGCCAACAGGCUGUCAAGUGUAGCUCUGGAUGCAGGGUUUAAUAUGAAGAAAGUGGAUUGGACUUUGCCAUCUGGAUCAAAGCUGCAGGUCAGUUUAGAUCUAUGAGUUUUCUGGGUUAUGGCUGCUUUUAUUUUGCAUGCCUUUCAACUGUGCAGCUUAAAAGGCAACCUGGAAGAAGGUGGUGUGAGCUUACAGGGAGCUGUGCCUUUCACACAGGUGGCAGGUGAGAUAUAUAUGUAUGUAGCACCUUAUUUUUCUGCCUUUAAAAUGAUGUUCGGGUAUGGUCUAUUCCUCACUCUAUUCCUAUGCUCCGUUCCUCAGUCUGCUCCUUUGCAGAGCAGAGUGGUUUUGGGAGCAUAUAACCCUGGAAUGGGAAGGUGGAGGACAUGGCACUGCAAGGGCUCGUUACCUGCUGAAAUUAGUCGGGUGUUAACGAGCUUGGGGCAAGUUUGAUGGGCUGAAAUCCCUGCCUGCUGUGAUGGCCUGGCUUUCACUGCUGCCUGUAGUGUCACGUUUCAGGAGCUCUGCUGGCUUCAAUGUCAUGUAUUUGGUGCACAGAACAAGUUGGUUUUCCUGUGAUGUUACAUGAUUGCUGUAAAUAAAUAAAAAGCAAACACCCACCUUGCCAAAAGAAACCCUUAUGUUCCAACUCUGCAACUCAGCAGCAAUGCUGAUGUGAAAUGAAUCAUCCCUGGGGUUUCAGGCAGCU
Coturnix japonica (Japanese quail) is the source of this 3050-nucleotide non-coding RNA. The record is from RefSeq and is a predicted model, not a curated record. NCBI's taxonomy places the organism in Eukaryota, Metazoa, Chordata, Aves, Galliformes, Phasianidae.